This 360-nucleotide long non-coding RNA is filed under the name Chrysemys picta bellii (western painted turtle). RNAcentral's name for it is "lncRNA (ENSCPBG00000025399.1)". Lineage: Eukaryota; Metazoa; Chordata; Testudines; Emydidae. The record is from RNAcentral.
GAGCCACAAGAGCAAUAUUCUGCACCGACUGAAACAAAUCUAACAACAACAGCAACAUCCUCCAGAAUGAAAGCCAGCAACAGAGAGAAUCUUAGGGACCUUAAACCAUAUUGAGCAGAAGACCAUCAACUGACUGAAACCCAGAUGCUGCAGGCAAGUUAGCUGUGCUGAAAUCUUCUCUCGAGUCUCCUUUGCAUAUGGAACCCUACGCAACUGAUCAAUAUUCCUUCCCAGAGAAGGUACGUCUCAGUUAUCGGUGACACAUUCCCCUGAGUGCUUGUGUCAAACUCUCUCACAUCAAGAAAGGGGAAGGUAACCUGCAGAAAGGUCAGAUUGCCUGUGCUAGAUCUCAGCAUAGAC